ACUAAUAUCUGAAAGGUGAAACGUUUUUAUCAUGUAAAUAAGCGAUUUUAUUCUAGUAUGGUAACGUUAGUUUAAACUCUUGUUAUGAAGUUUUGGUAUGCCGCUUAGCGGAUUAGCAAGCGGCCCACCACUACCUUACCAUUGCUUCCAACUGUAGCUAGCUUUAUUAGUAACAAUUAGCUUAGCUAGAUAGCUAAUGUUAGGCUAGUUUACACACCUGGUUUUAUUAGAGACAGAGUGGCGUUAGCUACUCAUUGUUUCUCUUCUAAUCCACUAAGUUAUAGCUUUAAAUACUGUAGAAAAAACAACGCUUACAACCGUCCUUCAUACAAUUGAGUCGAAAGUAGGUUAAUUUAGCGCUUUUUAGCUAGUUAGCUAAACUAGCGUUAGCUAGCUAACGUUAACUGACAAACUAUGUCUUAGACGACAGUGUUGGUGAAGCAUUAACGAUACUAAUAUCUGAAACCCCAAACGAAGUGUAAAAAGCUAUUUUAAUUAGUUUAUUGUUUUAUUGUUUAUUGUUUUAUUUAGUUUAACUCUUGUUAGGAUGUUUUCUGUGGGUUUUGCGUAACGUUAGCAAAUUAGCAAGGAGCUAGCAUUUCUAUACCAAUGAUAAGCAUAUAAUGCAUAUGGAAGGCACCAGUAGAUGGGGAACAUGAACAGCGAUUUUGAAGAUGGCAUUCUUGAAGACAACUCACUAGGAGCUCUGAGUGACGUUUGGGAUGAAGAGCUGAGUGAUGACCUUUUGCGUAGCGAUGAAGAAGACCUAACUACCAGUGAUGUGGCCUCACAUCUGGGAUGUGAACAAGAGGUUGGAGCCCCUCAUCAUGCUGAGGAACCUAGAAGAUGCACUGGGGAGCAGCAGCAGCAGCAGCAGCCAGGAGAGAAACCGGACCAUGGUGAAGUUUUCGACAUCCCAAUCAAUGACCCUGAUGAAUUUCAAGAACUGACCAGAGAGACAGUUAGACCUCAGCAGCAGAAACAGCAGCAGAGGGAGGAAGAGGAGGAGGAGGAGAACUCCAGAGAUGAAGAAGAAAGCAGCAGUUUACAAGCUUCUGCUGCUGAUACUGUGAUCCACUCAUCAAGUGCAGCCAGUGAAGAGAAGAUCUUAACUGAAGCACUGGGGCUUUGUGAAGAGGCCAGACCAGCAUUUUGGGGACGUUUGAAUAAACAUGAAGGUCUUGCAAGAGAAAGAAGUGGAACACAGAUGGACACGCAGUUUCAUCCCUGCAAUGGAUGCCCUGGUCAAAAAGCCCAAAGGGAAUUUUGUCUCCAAAGCGAUGCUGUUUGCAGCCAAAGCUCUGUCUCCUCUCUACCUCCUCUCCUGAUGGAGCUGCAGUCUACAGGAGCAUCCCCCCAGCAAGUGCCCUUGACGUCUACACAAAGCCCAUCCAAUCCUGCUGUGGAUCCCUCGAGCCUCCAAGUUGUAGCAGACUCUUCCAGGCCUCUUCAUGAACAGACCAUCCCAGCAGGAAGUCAUCCAGUGUUCCCAGGACAGCAUAUGUUCGGUCAGCAGCACCACACCUCAGAGCUGGACGGCAGUCCGCUGCUCCACGACCCUGUCUCCACGGGGGCCGCUGGGCGUCCCGGAUGUUCAGGGGACCCCCGGGGGCCCCUCUGCUCUCCACAGAGAAACCUGGGCUUACCCAGCCUGAACAGUAGCCACCCUGCGCCCUUGUGUGUCCCAGGAGAAGCAUCACUGCAGCCGGUGCCAUCUGUCAUUGCACAGCAUCAGCCAUGUGAUACCGAGCCUUUCCAUCCAGACCAAGCCCUCUCUCUUCUACAAACUCCACCUGUUCUCCACCCUAAUCCAGAGCAGAGCAGCCAAUCAUCUUUAAGCCCUGUGCAAGCCCCUCCUUCUGCCUGGCUACCUUCUGUCAGUGUCGAAUCACAGAGCAGCCCUCUGAGCCGACCUGCCCCUAUUUGCUGUGCGGUCAUCAAGCCCAGAAUGGAACUGGCCGUUGAAGAACAGGGUAAAAGGAGGAUAAUGAAGUGUGCAGAGAAACAGAUGGAAAUGGGUCCAGAUUUCUCCUAA
Molecule: long non-coding RNA, 2035 nt
Filed under: Astyanax mexicanus (Mexican tetra)
Lineage: Eukaryota; Metazoa; Chordata; Actinopteri; Characiformes; Acestrorhamphidae
Description: lncRNA (ENSAMXG00005024062.1)
Source: RNAcentral